Molecule: ribosomal RNA, 229 nt
Filed under: uncultured bacterium
Lineage: Bacteria
Description: partial 16S ribosomal RNA
Rfam family: Bacterial small subunit ribosomal RNA
Source: RNAcentral
CAUGUAGGCGGCAUGACAAGUCUGGUGUGAAAUAUCUCGGCUCAACCGAGAAAACGCACUGGAAACUGUCAAGCUAGAGUAUCGGAGGGGAAGCUAGAAUUCCUGGUGUAGGGGUGAAAUCUGUAGAUAUCAGGAAGAAUACCGGCGGCGAAGGCGAGCUUCUGGCCAGAUACUGACGCUGAGAUGCGAAAGCGUGGGGAGCGAACAGGAUUAGAUACCCUGGUAGUCC